Haliotis rubra (blacklip abalone) is the source of this 1026-nucleotide long non-coding RNA. RefSeq lists it as uncharacterized. The record is from RefSeq and is a predicted model, not a curated record. Lineage: Eukaryota; Metazoa; Mollusca; Gastropoda; Lepetellida; Haliotidae. The transcript is spliced from 3 exons.
CACGUGUCACGCCGUAGAUUUAUUAUUUGCAUCUUAUUUUUCUUAUAUUUCCAACUGUGGGUGCUGUCUACUUAGAUCUUAUCAAUUUCCUGAGUUCAUCUUUGGCUGACUUUGUGGUACUGAAAUAUAUCAGUGGUAAGUUGACCUGCUUACAACGACCAGCUCACGUUAAACAACGCUGUUCACGAAAAGUACUCGAUGGGUGAUCUCCCUUGGCUCUUGAGGUUGUGACCAACACCGGGGCUCGCGUAGCACGUGGGUGUCUCCUUAGGCAAGUAAGUAUUUGAAAUAAUCCUCUGCUGAUGCAGCAGGGAAUGGGUACCCGGUGGGUGAGAUGAUAAUGGGACUAUUUUAGCAUGUCACAUGGCACAUGGCACAGGCAGAGAAUCACAAAUCGUGUGUACACUACGUCAUUCAAGGGGGACUCUUAUUAUUGUUAUAAUCGUCAUCAUUAUUAUUGUGUGUUGCAGCCUCCCGACUAAGGCAGGGCGACCGCGAGUACUGGACUGAGUGGUACGACGUGGACGACCCAGUGAGCGGCGACGGCGACUACGAAACGGUUCAAUCCAUCACCAGGGCUCUGAGACGGAAUAUCUGCCCAUCAACUCACACCAUCACCAGAGCUGACUGCGAUGUCGACAACGGUGACGUCGACGACAUCGUGAGGGAAGACAGUCUGGCAUUGCCCUGCUCCACUGCGGGUCUAGCCUGCAGGAAUAGUGACCAGACUUCCGGAAUAUGCAAUAACUACAGAAUAAGAUUCUUCUGUCAACCACUAAACAGGGUCCACACGGAAGGAGACACGACACAAGACGAGGACCAGGAAGGGAAUGGUACAAGACGUGUCCUCCGAUUUGACAUGCGCAUUUACAUCGUCCUCGCGGCUAUUCCGGUCGUCAUCUUCCUGUUCCGUAUUUGCUGGUCGUUCACCUUCGAGAAGCGACGUCGCCGGAACAGACGCUCUACGCGUGCGCGACGUCCAGCUCAAGACGAGGAGGCUGUUCAUCCGGAAGUGUUUCUUCCUCC